GAUGAAGAACGUAACGAAAUGCGAUAAGUAAUGUGAAUUGCAGAAUUCAGUGAAUCAUCGAAUCUUUGAACGCACAUUGCGCCCGCCAGUAUUCUGGCGGGCAUGCCUGUCUGAGCGUCAUUUCAACCCUCAUGCCCCUAGGGCGUGGUGUUGGGGAUCGGCCAAAGCCCGCGAGGGACGGCCGGCCCCUAAAUCUAGUGGCGGACCCGUCGUGGCCUCCUCUGCGAAGUAGUGAUAUUCCGCAUCGGAGAGCGACGAGCCCCUGCCGUUAAACCCCCAACUUUCCAAGGUUGACCUCAGAUCAGGUAGGAAUACCCGCUGAACUUAAGCAUAUCAAUAAGCGGAGGA
This 348-nucleotide unclassified non-coding RNA is filed under the name soil metagenome. RNAcentral describes it as "partial contains 5.8S ribosomal RNA, internal transcribed spacer 2, and large subunit ribosomal RNA". The stretch from base 1 to 120 matches the Rfam family "5.8S ribosomal RNA", at positions 35 to 154 of the family's 154-position model. The record is from RNAcentral.